UUAGGAAUUUUGGGCAAUGGGCGCAAGCCUGACCCAGCAACGCCGCGUGGGGGACGACGGCCUUCGGGUUGUAAACCCCUUUUCCCGGGGACGAUGAUGACGGUACCCGGGGAAGAAGCCCCGGCUAACUACGUGCCAGCAGCCGCGGUAAUACGUAGGGGGCGAGCGUUGUCCGGAUUCAUUGGGCGUAAAGGGCGCGCAGGCGGCCGGGCAGGUCGCGCGUGAAAUCUCCGGGCUCAACUCGGAGGGGCCGCGCGAAACCGUCCGGCUCGAGGCCGGCAGGGGGGAGCGGAAUUCCCGGUGUAGUGGUGGAAUGCGUAGAGAUCGGGAGGAACGCCGGUGGCGAAGGCGGCUCCCUGGGCCGGUGCUGACGCUCAGGCGCGAAAGCGUGGGGAGCGAUCCGG
This 404-nucleotide ribosomal RNA is filed under the name uncultured bacterium. RNAcentral's name for it is "bacterial SSU rRNA". It matches the Rfam family "Bacterial small subunit ribosomal RNA", at positions 355 to 776 of the family's 1533-position model. The record is from RNAcentral.